ACUCCUGCGGGAGGCAGCAGUGGGGAAUUUUGGACAAUGGGCGAAAGCCUGAUCCAGCAAUGCCGCGUGUGUGAAGAAGGCCUUCGGGUUGUAAAGCACUUUUGUCCGGAAAGAAAUCCUUGGCUCUAAUACAGUCGGGGGAUGACGGUACCGGAAGAAUAAGCACCGGCUAACUACGUGCCAGCAGCCGCGGUAAUACGUAGGGUGCGAGCGUUAAUCGGAAUUACUGGGCGUAAAGCGUGCGCAGGCGGUUUGCUAAGACCGAUGUGAAAUCCCCGGGCUCAACCUGGGAACUGCAUUGGUGACUGGCAGGCUAGAGUAUGGCAGAGGGGGGUAGAAUUCCACGUGUAGCAGUGAAAUGCGUAGAGAUGUGGAGGAAUACCGAUGGCGAAGGCAGCCCCCUGGGCCAAUACUGACGCUCAUGCACGAAAGCGUGGGGAGCAAACAGGAUUAGAAACCCCUGUAGUCCCAU
RNAcentral lists this ribosomal RNA (472 nucleotides) under uncultured organism. RNAcentral's name for it is "partial 16S ribosomal RNA". It matches the Rfam family "Bacterial small subunit ribosomal RNA", at positions 335 to 798 of the family's 1533-position model. The record is from RNAcentral.